RNAcentral lists this transfer RNA (52 nucleotides) under Kryptolebias sepia. RNAcentral describes it as "partial tRNA-Ile". The record is from RNAcentral. Lineage: Eukaryota; Metazoa; Chordata; Actinopteri; Cyprinodontiformes; Rivulidae.
UUACCCUUUUUUAAUGAGAGUAAAUAUAAGGGUUAAAGCCCCUUCAACUCCU